This 344-nucleotide long non-coding RNA is filed under the name Capsella rubella. RNAcentral describes it as "long non-coding RNA (CRUB_LNC005204)". The record is from RNAcentral. Lineage: Eukaryota; Viridiplantae; Streptophyta; Magnoliopsida; Brassicales; Brassicaceae.
GUGAAUCUAAGUGUGUAUAUUGUAUACUGAGUUAACACGAUACAUAUAUUUUUUUUUUUUAACUCAUCAAUUAUUCUAUGUAACUUUUUAUAAUAAUGGAUAUCAUGCAUGCUUUAACAAUUCAUUUGCUUGUGAACAUAUCUAACGUUUGUCGCACAGUAAACGAGUUAGUUGCUAAUAAGAUUACUUGAAAAGUUAAAUAAUCGUUUACCACGUUAAUUCAAAAAAAAAAAAGUAAAAGGAAAAGAGUUUGCUGACCAAUGGCAGUUUCUGUAAUUAGAUUAGAAAAUAAGGAUAAAUAUGGUUUAACAAUUUGGCAAUUGAAAAUGAUAACGUGUAGCGCG